RNAcentral lists this transfer RNA (73 nucleotides) under Pseudomonadota bacterium. RNAcentral's name for it is "tRNA-Lys". It matches the Rfam family "tRNA". Rfam says of the family: Transfer RNA (tRNA) molecules are approximately 80 nucleotides in length. Their secondary structure includes four short double-helical elements and three loops (D, anti-codon, and T loops). Further hydrogen bonds mediate the characteristic L-shaped molecular structure. tRNAs have two regions of fundamental functional importance: the anti-codon, which is responsible for specific mRNA codon recognition, and the 3' end, to which the tRNAs corresponding amino acid is attached (by aminoacyl-tRNA synthetases). tRNAs cope with the degeneracy of the genetic code in two manners: having more than one tRNA (with a specific anti-codon) for a particular amino acid; and 'wobble' base-pairing, i.e. permitting non-standard base-pairing at the 3rd anti-codon position. Lineage: Bacteria; Pseudomonadati; Pseudomonadota. RNAcentral also lists the same sequence under 1 other name. The record is from RNAcentral.
GGGUCAUUAGCUCAGGUGGUAGAGCAUCGGAUUUUUAAUCCGGUGGCCGCAGGUUCGAGUCCUGCAUGACCCA